Molecule: ribosomal RNA, 253 nt
Filed under: uncultured bacterium
Lineage: Bacteria
Description: partial 16S ribosomal RNA
Rfam family: Bacterial small subunit ribosomal RNA
Source: RNAcentral
UACGAACCGAGCGAACGUUGUUCGGAAUCACUGGGCUUAAAGGGCGCGUAGGCGGCUUGUCAAGUCAGGGGUGAAAUCUUUCGGCUCAACCGGAAAAGUGCCCUUGAUACUGACAGGCUUGAGGGAGGUAGGGGCAUGUGGAACUUCUGGUGGAGCGGUGAAAUGCGUUGAUAUCAGAAGGAACGCCGGUGGCGAAAGCGACGUGCUGGACCUCUUCUGACGCUGAGGCGCGAAAGCUAGGGGAGCAAACAGG